Molecule: long non-coding RNA, 2528 nt
Organism: Juglans microcarpa x Juglans regia
Lineage: Eukaryota; Viridiplantae; Streptophyta; Magnoliopsida; Fagales; Juglandaceae
Exons: 3
Source: RefSeq, a predicted model, not a curated record
GGAAUACUCCGCCGGAUUAAAUUUGACUGUGAAAUUGGUUUCAGAUCCGUGGAUUCUGGUUUUGUCUAACCAUUUCCAUUUCCCAUGGCAUUCUCAUCCUGAAAGCCCUGACAGUAACAGAAGAGCAUUUUCUCCACUAGCUUACUCUCUUUGAUCCUACACUCGUGCGGACAUGGAGUCUUAGAUCCCACCGCCUUCGCUACACGGACGAACUCUCUCGCACUUUCUGUGAUUGUAAUUGUUUUCUGGGGAGAUCUGGCUGGUUUACGAACCGAUUGUGGUUUUGGAGCGACUGAACAGUUUGAUAAAGUUGAAUUUGUGGCGUUAGAUGCUCAAUUUCCGUCGACUUAAUGUAGAAGAUCUAGAACUGACAGUGGUUUCCGUACAGCUCGAAUCCCUAAAGUUGUGAUUUUUAGCGCUGGUCAGAGACCUUUGGCUUCCUCGCGGCUCUGGAUUACUUAAUCACUGAGUUUCGCUAUGGAGACAAUUCUUGUGGUGGCUCAGCAUAGGAACCAAUACUACAGCCGAAGCAAACCCGAUGGGCCGGUCCGAUUGGGUUCAUCCCCGGCCAGAGACUUCAGUGGGAUCAAUUGCCGGAGUUUUCAAUCCGGUGAAGGUAUACUCCCGACCCCAUUGAGGACUUGCUCUUCUCCUGUAGCCGCACGGGCAUGUUCUUCUUCUUGUUCUUUAUCUUUAGCGGAAUCCCCAUCUGGCCCACUAAACGAUAUCAGCGUGCAGUUCAAAACAACUGCGACAAGCUCCCCAAUUAAUAUCGAUGCGAAGUUUUGUAAGAAGAAUAGGGCUUUUAGCGAGGAAGUCGUUAAUGAGAGCUUCUCAUUUUCUGAGCGUUGGGCUGGCCCCACGUACUCGAACUCGCCGCCGCCGAGUUCUUUACCAAUACCCAAAUUUUCGAUCCUGCCAAAGAGAAGCGUGUCGCUUGAUUUGCCCCGUUCCGCUCCUGAGAUCGAAAUGCAUUACCCGAUGGCCAAGUCUGCGCCCCCAUCUCCUUCCAGGUAUUAUACCAAUUCUACGAGGGAUAUCACGAGGGAUAUCUUUCGUAGUGCUGACUCUGCGACUAAGACUUUACGUCGCAUUCUCAAUCUCGAUCUUGAUGAUGAGUGAAGCGGUAGGUGUGUUGGGCUUCUGUAAAUAAGUCUACUUUGAAAACCUGGGUUAGUGUUAGAUUGUAUAUAGAGUGAAUAAAAUCGGUUGGUAGUGUGAUUCUGUACGAGUUUGUUUAGCUCAGUAGCUGUUGGUACAAGCGAUGGAUAGGGCUCUGGCCUGUCAACGAUCUCCGGGUUUCACAUUAAGGAUUGAUGUGGAUUUGGGAUUGAUUUAUGGACUUGGAUUUUGGUCUUGGGCGGCAUGUCAUGACCGGAGGGAGGUACCUGUACUGUGUGGCUUUUGCGGCACAGUUGGAAGCUACAUUGGGACGUUUUGGAGGGAGGAGAAGCAGUGCAUCAGAAUUUGCUAGUUUAGUUGCUGGAGCUAUAUCUUUAUUUACUGAUGUUUAAUCUAUCAGGCCUGAAGGAAAUCAUAUUUCUAGAUGAAAAAGUUAUGAUAUUAAGUUCUUGGUAGAAGUUCUUAACAGAAUUCUUAAUUUUCACUGAUCUGUUCUUAGGUUUAGGUCUAUGGCUUCAGAAGCUGUAUAUACUGUAGAAUCUUGAACUGACUCCUUACACCAACUCCUAUGCUUCUGUUUCAUUCCCCUUUUUGUCAGCGUCUUUCGUUGUUCUUAAACUUCAGCAUCCUUUCUAACUUUCUUUCUCAGUCUAUCAUUGAUUACUGUCUUAAAUGAAUAGAUGAAAGGUUGCCUAAAUUGGCUGGCUCAGACGAGCAGCCUUCCUCAAACCCUUUACCCACCUCUCAGCUUCUCCACCCUCGCCUCUCCACCCUCUUCUUACUCACUGUUUCUAUCCUUUUACUAGGAUCUGACUCCUCUCUGUACAAUCUGGGAGGUAUGGUUCCCUUCUCCAUUUUCCUGGUUUUUAAGAGCGAAAAGUGGGAAGGGAGCUUCUGCUUCUUCAUUUUGUUGCCUUAUUCCAUGUUGCGUUGUCUUCCUGUAAGCUCCUUCUAGUUUCUUGUUCUUGUGAGUGCAUAUUGUCCCAUUCAUCUUGAUCUCGGCAAGGGUUAUCUUCCUUGGAGGUUAUUGAUUGUACCAAGUGAUGCUCAAGCGGGAGCCUGUCAGAGAAGAAUGUGGCAGCUGGCUUUACUAGGGAAUGUAAUUCACGCUGGAUCUAGUGUUGAGAAUGCAUGCUGUUAUUGAUCUCUGCAUGCUCCUAUAACAGGGAGCCUAUCAGAGGAGCUGCUUCCUGUUCUUGGUCUUAUCGGUUGUAUUGAAAAAAGCAUACUAUCCAUAUUUGCUUGGUUGAUCUUUUGUUGCAUGAGUACCCUAAUGUAGUGGAUUCUCUAUGUAGUGUUAGAUUUUCUGCCUUCUUGGCCCUUAUCACGUUGUAUCAGAUUCUGAUGUUAGUAUCUUGUUUUGCAUUUAUGUCAAUGUUUAUGCCAUCAUCCUGGGUUGUGAUUGA